UCCGCGGCCACCUCUCCCGGCAGCAGAGGGGCCAGCUGGGCCAGCGGGAGAAAGGCUGAUUUUUACUCCUGAUUAGCAAUUGUGCGCGAGAGAUGUUUUCAGCUGAAAUAAUAUACAAGAGUUUCCCCAGAGAAAAUAUACACGCUCAGUUUUUUGGAACCACUUAACACAACCCGGUAGCAAGCAGACGUACAUUUGGAACCACAUAACACGUUUCUUGACUUGGAAGAACUGCCUGGUACAAAUUGAUGUCAUCACAAUAGAGAUUAAUGUGCCCGUUUUAUUAGCCUCACAGGCCGCAGGUGAAUGGUGAGCUAUUGUUAUUCAACUGGUUAAUAUUAUUUUUACAUAAAUCAAGGUAACGCCUAACAACGUCUUAAGUCUUUAAAUCAACCCGCCUUUUCCUAUUUGGAACAUGACGUUGGGCCCUUGCCAAGAGCGCCGGGAAACAGAGGGCCAAAAGUGGCAUUUCAAUAAGGAACGUACCCGUUCAACGACAGGAUGCCGGGCUCACGGCUCACAGCCCCUUGCCAACACACAAGCGAGUCUUGGGAGAAUUUCACAUUCGCGCUGACAGUGGCCUACGACUGCUGGAGGUUGGCUCCCAGCCCAGGACCCAGAACACAGCAGGAGCUCCAAGUGCCCUUUGAGUACCGAACAGAGAUGGUCAGCAACCUCUGGAGAUGUUCUCUCAUACUAGUCAAAACUUCUUGUCUUUACUUUUAAUUUUCAACAAACCAAUAAUGCUUCCUCAUUCGAAGGGGCUUUGCUCUUUUUGGAACUGACACUAGGAUCUGACUCUGUCUGUACUGUCCAUGUGGAUCCCAAAGAAAGACGUCUAGGACCAGCUGCCAACCCCAACCUCCUUUGGGUGAGGGUAUCUGCUUUGGCAAAAAUCUCAGGAACAACACUGAUUUUGCCAUGAAGAACUUCCAUGAAUUCCAAGUCUAAGAGCUUCAGGCUGGAAGGAAAUCAAGAUCAGAUGUGAUCAGAGACUACCCCAAUUUGACAGCACAUCACCAGAAAUAAGAGAACCCCUAUGGAGUUUUGGGUCCACACAGGCAUAUAGUUAACAAAAACCAAGGCCUGCAGAACCACAUCGAACUUCAAAACUUUUGUUCAUCAAAGGACACACUCAACACAGUGAAAAGAAAUAAGAGAAAAUAUUUACAAAUAUUAAUAUCCAGACUAUGUUGAGAACUCCUACAACUCAACAACAACAAAAAAUCAAAUAGC
RNAcentral lists this long non-coding RNA (1236 nucleotides) under Ursus maritimus (polar bear). RNAcentral's name for it is "lncRNA (ENSUMAG00000006979.1)". Lineage: Eukaryota; Metazoa; Chordata; Mammalia; Carnivora; Ursidae. The record is from RNAcentral.